UAUGCAAAGUGGCAAUGCAGUCCUCAAUUCAGUUUGAAUUAUUUUGAUCAUUAUUAAAAAUCAAAAUGAAAGCUCAAUCAAUUACAUUUCAUAUUGGCAUGUUUUUUUGGUCUCUUUAUUCAAAUGUCAAUUCAUUUUGCAAUUGGCAAUUCAAUGUGCCAGCGAAACAGCACCCCCAGUCUAUUGCAUUUACAUUUACUUGUCCCCACGCUCUUUUGGUGUCAAAAUUCAAAUGGCAAUGCAAUAUGUCAGUCCUCUCAUCAAGGCGGGUCUUCAGUUAUGACGCCACUUCACCUCGUUCAGUAACUAACAAAUUGGGUAAGCGCACCGGCACUUUACUUUGACCACGCCAACGUUCUUCUUGAUGGGUUCUACCUCAGAUAACGUCCAUGUGUUCAAUCUAGAGUUCAGACAUUAGUUUAUUAAAACAGGGCCAUUUUGUGUGUAUCUACAUCCUCAUGCGUAGGCAUUACAAGCUAAUGCUAGCUAGGCCUGGAUAAAGUUAGUAGCUUGCUAACAACCUAAGCUAAUGCUAGCAAGGUAACUUAGCUAAAGUUAGCCAAGUUUACUGUUGGUUGCUUACUAAUUUACAAUGCUAGUGACAACAGCAAUGGCUGAAUGGCAUUUCAAUCCUUUAUCAACCUAACUUUCCUAAACAACAUAAGUUAAGCCAUUAGCCCGAGGGGUCUCGUUUCAGGGCUAUAAGCCACUCUGGGGGUACUGUAAAAGCCUGUCAAAGACCAUAGGUGAUCCACGUUUAUGCUGUUGAUGCGUAUUUAUUGCUCACCACAUAUAAACAAGUUCCAUCAAGUAACCCACAGGCAGUAAAAAAACCCCCAAAACUAUUGGUAGUCUACAGUGUAAACAGCACAUGAAUUAUACUAACGUUGUACUACACUACAAUACCACAGCUGGUACGUGUUCUUUGGAGAAAGGUUAGGGCAUGUCAGUGUCUCCUCCCUUAGUCCUGAAUAGCUAAUGCUACUAGUCACUAACAUGUUUAUUAUAUUUUCAUGAUGAUGAUAAUGAGUUAGGGAUGAUCUAAAUGACACAAUGACCUCCACGCCCAGCAAGCAGAAAAAGAAGGGCUACUUGAUUCCAGUCUCUGGGAUGUCCAGUGUCAUCGGUUUACUUUCACCAGACCGGUAUGUGGCACAUCUGCAAAACCAGAACAACUACUUGUGGACAGACAUAGGGUUGCUGCUCUUCUUCUGCUGUGCCGUAAGCUGUAAAUGAGGAAACAAAGGGUUUGGGUGGCCCCCCAUCAAUGAACGUAGAGACCACAAUGUGGUCCAGAAGCUCUGGGCAGGUACUGAGAGGCUCUACAAAUAAUUUAGAAUGAGUGCAACUGAGAUGGACCAAGUUCUCUCCAUAACUGGACCUGACAUCACAAAGAUGCACAUAAAUUACAGAAGUCCCAGAGAAAAAACAUUCUCUGGAACGAUAGAUAAAAUGAUAUACAUUGCGUAAACUUUAGGCACACCAGUAACUUAAACCUUAUUUGUUUCAAAUAACACAAACUUACAUCUGAACAUUGUAAACAUUUAAGCAAUAUGAUAGUUAUAUGACUGAAUAUGUGGGGCCCUGUGCCUCACUCAUAAUCGCUCAUAAUGUGGAUCCUGCUUUGCCGUUGGCCCUCCCAUAGACCCAUGAUAGGGUGGAAUAUUAGAGCUCAAUGGUGGGUGUCUAGCUUCCCACUACUCUGACAUGACAGACCUGGAUCUUUCACAUAGCUGGGGUGUGACAGCAUAUGUCAUGGGUCUUCAGUCACCCUUUUGUGAGGUUUCUAGCUCCUCCAGUAUUUGUAGGAAGCUCAAUUUGGCUUUUGUUUUAUUUCUAGCAUUGAGUCUCUCCAUUUGAGGGAACAAACUUGACAAGAACAGCUCAGAUUCAUUUUUGGGUGCUACUGGCUCAGUUGCCUUUGGUGGACUUGUCAGAAAGUCCAUCAACAUUUCAUUCACAGCUGUGUUAGGGCUUCUGCUUCUGUAUCUUCUGCUGGAUGCUCUGGCUCAUUGUGGUGGAAUUUGCUCAGUCUGGGGAGGUGGAGCUGCAUCCUCCUGCUGCUCCUGUGUCUCCUCCAAAUUGCCCGUGUUGUAAAACAAUUGUAACUGUAAAUUACUCUAAAAACAUAGAAAGUAAAAUAAGAAGUAAAUAAGAAUUAAAAUAAAGAUUUUUGUUACUGGCUUUACAGUGGGAAUGAAAUCAAGACUGAAAAUGGUUUAUUGCCCCAGACCCACUGGGAAGAAGCUGUUUUUUACACCACUUCACGUACGAGUCUCUCAGUGACUUCCACCUUGCCUUGCAUUCUGCCACUGUAAAUGUGAAAUUAGUAAAUUAUCAAACAUGUUUACAGACUAGUAUUUCUCCUCUUUUACAGGUAUAUAGGAAAUGGUAAAUGGAGUCUUUCUGACUACUCAAAGCACCUACCAUCAGUGUAUUCACUGAUGGUAGGUGCUGCUCACCAGUACAAAGAAACUAACUAAUCAGUCACACACGAAAGGCACAGCCCUCGGGAGCAAUUUGAGGUUCAGUGUCUUGCCAAAGGACACUCCUGCAUGUGGGCUGAGGGAACCCAUGAUCGAACCGCCGACCUUCCGAUUGGUGGACAACCCGCUUCACCACCAAGCCACAGCAACCCGCACGAGAGACUCCAUAUCCAGCCUCAUGUUCAGCUACUGCUUAGGAAUGUGACUUUUAUGAAAUUUAGUCCAUGAGUGGUGGGUUCAUCUCAUUUGUUUGAGUUACAAUAUUUCAGCCUUUUCCUAUAGUCAGAACCAGUGGGCAGACAGCAUAUGCAGCGAGAGACAAGCUCUGCCAAUAUUUCAACUUGCCACAAGGAAGUGUGCCAUGGCAGGACUGUAUGGUAUAGUUGAUAGUGAUGUGAAGAGUGAACACAGUUAGAGUUGAGUACUUUAUGUAUGCUGGAAAUGUUUCUACAUUUAUUUUCUUCAAUUAAAUAAUUUAUUGCAA
This is a long non-coding RNA of Siniperca chuatsi (mandarin fish), 2970 nucleotides long. RefSeq lists it as uncharacterized. The record is from RefSeq and is a predicted model, not a curated record. The transcript has 3 exons. Lineage: Eukaryota; Metazoa; Chordata; Actinopteri; Centrarchiformes; Sinipercidae.